RNAcentral lists this transfer RNA (85 nucleotides) under Sulfurimonadaceae bacterium. Its description in RNAcentral is "tRNA-Leu". It matches the Rfam family "tRNA". From Rfam's summary of the family: Transfer RNA (tRNA) molecules are approximately 80 nucleotides in length. Their secondary structure includes four short double-helical elements and three loops (D, anti-codon, and T loops). The record is from RNAcentral. Lineage: Bacteria; Pseudomonadati; Campylobacterota; Epsilonproteobacteria; Campylobacterales; Sulfurimonadaceae. RNAcentral also lists the same sequence under 1 other name.
GCGGACGUGGUGAAAUUGGUAUACACGCCAGACUUAGGAUCUGGUGCCGUAAGGUGUGGAGGUUCAAGUCCUCUCGUCCGCACCA